RNAcentral lists this long non-coding RNA (770 nucleotides) under Homo sapiens (human). RNAcentral's name for it is "TSBP1 and BTNL2 antisense RNA 1, transcript variant 3 (TSBP1-AS1)". Lineage: Eukaryota; Metazoa; Chordata; Mammalia; Primates; Hominidae. The record is from RNAcentral.
GGAGAAGGCUUGUGAGGGGGAAAUGUGAGAGGAGAAGGGGCGCGAGGGGGAACAGCGAGGGGAGAAGGGGUCCCGCCUCCUGGCCGCGCCGCCCUAGGUGUCGCCGCCUGGCGGUUACGAGGAGGCCGCCUCCUGCUUGCCGGCCUGGCGGUCCUACUCAACACCGCAAGAUUUCAAAAGGGAAAUUCCUCCAGGGCUGAGUCACAGGGAAGAAAGCGAUUUCCUCCGCCUCUUCCAAAGCGGUUUGGAAAUUGCUCUCUUCAUGUCAUCAUAAUAAACCACUAGAAACUUGCAUUUACUUUUGACUGAUUAUUGAAGUGUCUGGUUAUGGAGAACAAAGAAAUUGGAGAAAUGUGAAGCUUAAGCUUCUGCUGUGCUGCAGCGAAGAAGUCUGGGAAGUUUAGGAAGAUAUCCUCUUGAUUAAAUGGGGCUAAAUGUCAGCAGAAUUGAAGAAAAGUAAAGGAACUUACCAAUACUUGAUCGAGACAGUGCUAAAAUAAAACACAUCAAAAGAAGAAUGAGUUCUGUUUGUCCCAGGGAGAACUUAGAUGCCAUAGACACUAUAUUGCAGAAAGGUUGUGGAAAAGAGGAUAGAAAUGAGUCACAACUUAUUUCCUGGUAUCAAUUGCAAUGCAAUGUGGUGAGCAGCUGGAUAUCUACAUAUGGAUUCCAAUACUUUUGUGGUAAGGUGGGACUACAAGAUCUAUGCAACCUGUCUUUCAAUUUUGGUAAGAGAAUAAAAAUAUUUUUGGAGAUUGCUAGUUUCUCAA